RNAcentral lists this ribosomal RNA (602 nucleotides) under Troglocharinus mercedesi. RNAcentral describes it as "SSU rRNA". It matches the Rfam family "Eukaryotic small subunit ribosomal RNA", at positions 23 to 601 of the family's 1831-position model. The record is from RNAcentral. Lineage: Eukaryota; Metazoa; Arthropoda; Insecta; Coleoptera; Leiodidae.
GUCAUAUGCUUGUCUCAAAGAUUAAGCCAUGCAUGUCUCAGUACAAGCCAAAUUAAGGUGAAACCGCGAAAGGCUCAUUAAAUCAGUUAUGGUUCCUUAGAUCGUACCCACAUUUACUUGGAUAACUGUGGUAAUUCUAGAGCUAAUACAUGCCAACAGAACUCCGACCGGAGACGGAAGGAGUGCCUUUAUUAGAUCAAAACCAAUCGGUGGCGCGGCCUCGGUCGUGUCAUCGUACAACAUGGUGAAUCUGAAUAACGUUUGCUGAUCGCACGGUCUCGCACCGGCGACGCAUCUUUCAAAUGUCUGCCUUAUCAACUGUCGAUGGUAGGUUCUGCGCCUACCAUGGUUGUAACGGGUAACGGGGAAUCAGGGUUCGAUUCCGGAGAGGGAGCCUGAGAAACGGCUACCACAUCCAAGGAAGGCAGCAGGCGCGCAAAUUACCCACUCCCGGCACGGGGAGGUAGUGACGAAAAAUAACGAUACGGGACUCAUCCGAGGCCCCGUAAUCGGAAUGAGCACACUUUAAAUCCUUUCACGAGGAUCAAUCGGAGGGCAAGUCAGGUGCCAGCAGCCGCGGUAAUUCCUGCUCCGAUAGCGUA